UAGAAUGAAUAAAUAUAAAUUGUUUAUUUUUUGUGUUGCUUAUGUCUAGACGAAGCCGUUUGUCGUAAGCCGAAGCCGAUAGGCCAUCAAAUAACAGGUAGCCCAAGCUGAAUGUUAGUGGAGUGGUAGAUUCUUUAGACUUCACAUUAGCAUCAAGGGCUAACCACACGGGCAUAAACAAACGGAUUGUAAAGAAUGCUCAUCUUUGCCACCAUCGCAGGCACCACGCUCAUGACCGCAUCAAACAGAUGUGACCCGCCGAACGCAGCAAUCAGGACGUACACUGCAUAGGGCAACCAAGUAAUGGUGAAUGCCGCGAUGGCCACCGCAGUCAUAUAAGUGAUGUUCUGAAAACGUCUGAGCUGAGCCUGGAUACUUGCCACUGGAAUAGCCAGAGCCAUAUGGGCACUCAAAGCCUUUCGGAUUUGCAAGUAGUAGAAAAGCGAUGCACCCACAGGGAUGAAGUAGGCAGUGACACACAGGAUUAGAAUGUAGGCGAGGUCCCCAGGAGUGUCUGGACUCCAGUUAGGGGCACAGUUUGUGUCUGCGGCUUCGAGUUUCAUUUCUGUGAGCCCUGUUACUGGCGGGAGCAUGAUGACUGCAGAAUACAUCCACACACCGAUGAUAAUUUUGAGCUGGGUCUUGUUCGGUGGUUGGUGCAAAAUAUGAUUGGUAACGUUUUGCUUGGCAAUUGUCCGAUGUAUUGUUAUAGUGAUACAUAGCAUGCUUGCAAUCAUGGAAGUUGCAGCGCAGCCGCCGACGAAACCGAUGAACUUACACACAGCAUCGUUAAAUGCCCAGCCACGCGCGAACGACGACACGAGAGUUGUCGGGAAACUGCCAAGAAUCAUGAAUGUGUUCGCGGCAACUAUGUUCAAGAGAUAGGGAGUCAGGCUUUUUUGUUGGUUCUCCUUUUUAAGUAGAAUCAACAAUGUGAUCCCUUGUAGAAAGCAGCCAAAAAGUAUAAGAAAAAAUAUGAAUCCUGCGAGAAGAUUAUAUCCAUACGGAGUUAGCUGCAUCUCGAUAGCUGAAAAGCGUGUGCUUUAGUUGCCCUUCGCUGGGCUUCUCUGGUCUUGAGUUGAAAAUCUGCGAAAGCGUCUUAGAGCGCGUCACACUAGCGUGGCUGCACCAAAUCACCGGACUGUGUCGUGUUAAUACAAACAUCACGCGGCGCGCUUAAUAAAGUUAUUUUUAUUGGUUGAUGACGUCUGAAGAAAUCAGGUGGGUUGUUCUCUGUAACUAAGAGUGCCUUAUUAAAAUAACACUAAAUAAA
Nematostella vectensis (starlet sea anemone) is the source of this 1273-nucleotide long non-coding RNA. RefSeq lists it as uncharacterized. The record is from RefSeq and is a predicted model, not a curated record. The transcript is spliced from 2 exons. NCBI's taxonomy places the organism in Eukaryota, Metazoa, Cnidaria, Anthozoa, Actiniaria, Edwardsiidae.